GGCGACCACGAAGGGACCUCCAAAGCGCCUCCAUCAGAGAGCUCCAUCCAGACCUAGACUUGGACAAUAGGCAGUUGUUUGCUUGCCUCUGGCUCUGCUCACUCUCCAUGGGGGUCUAUAGCUGGUGAUCAUCUUGUAUACCUAAUUCUGGCUUCAUCUUCAGACUCGGACAGCCAGGAAUCCAGGAAUGUGCAGCAUGGAUGCCCAAGUCUGAGUGGAGGUUGCAUCAGUUUCAAAGACAUUGUGCUCUUCCCUGCCGUGGUGGAGUGGUGAGCCGGUUGACAUCCCGGAAAAGGUUGUUAGGGAGUGGAGGUGGGUGGAAGAACCAGAGUCAGACAGUCUGUUCUUCUCUGAUGGUGUCACAUCUGGAUAGAGUGGCUGGAGCUGCUGCAUCCAGCUUGCUACAAGCACAGGGGAUGGCAGAGCUCAGAGAUGGGAUGACCCUGUGUUCUUGAUGGAAUCAACCAGUCAUGCGGAUCCUGCUAUUUCUGGACUGGCUGUUAGGUGAGAUAAUGAAUUAUUUCCACAAUGCAUGCUUCUUGGAGCACAGGGAGACUCUUACUUGAGGACCUCGUUAUUUCUCACUGGGGCCAUGCUGGCGGCGUUCAAGUCAGGCUGCUCUCAGGCUUCUCCAGAAGUACCUAACAACUCAUGGCCACUCUUCUGACCCUAUCCUUCACAAGUAGGCCUACUUUAUAGGCAAACUGAGCUCCUGAAUCAUUAGGAUGGACGCGCCAUCAACAGAAUCUGCUUUUAGUGGAAUGGGUCUUCGGAUAAUCUGUUUUCAUCACAUCAAGAGCUAAGCCAGUCAGUUAACACAGAGGAAAUAUUAAAGGCAGUAUUUUUUCAUUAAGCAACCAGCAAGCACUUUAUGGAACUUAAGAAAGGAAGACCCCACAAGUGGACGAAGCUGAGUUAUGUUCUGCUCCCCCCACCCAGAUACAUACAACAGGACUGCCUAUCACAUGCCAACCAGUGCAACUGAAGGAGACAGAACAAAUAUGCAGAUGAGUCAUCCAACUUGCAAAGAGGCCAUGGGAGGCACGAUGAGGUCAAGAAAAGAGCAAACUGACUUAGUGAGAGAGACCAAAGUUCCACUGCCAUCUUCCAGCUGUAUGACUUGCAUAUGCCAUUUAAAUGAAGUCUGGGUUUUUUUUAAUCUGAAAAAUUUGCCUUAUCUACCUCAAAAAAAGGGGAUGAAAAUGCAUCUUAAGCAUGAAGUGUUAUGCAAAUCUUGGUUGUGGUUAUUACUAUAAUUUCAUGUAUUGAUUUUAAACAAAAUGUACUUUGAGUUGGAAGGUAAAAAAUAUGAAAGACUCUAAGAAUGGGUAGGCGGGGAACCAAAUGAUCUGUGGCCACACUGAAGGUAGAAAAAAAGGAAGUGAAUUUGAACUAAAGAAGCAGAAGUUGAGAAAGUACCAAAGUCUUUGACUUUCAGAGUGACCGAACACCAGCAUAGUUCACCAGAGAAGAUCAGGAAUGCUGUCUCUUCUGAAAGGGUACCAAAAAGAGAGUAAACAGAUCAUUCUAUAUUGAUCAAGGAGUGGCAAACUGACAUCUGCAGAACAAAUCUGAUCCCCAGAUGAGCUCUAUUUGUUCAACAAAGAUGUUGUCGUUGUUA
Long non-coding RNA from Homo sapiens (human), 1621 nucleotides. Lineage: Eukaryota; Metazoa; Chordata; Mammalia; Primates; Hominidae. The record is from Ensembl.